This 490-nucleotide ribosomal RNA is filed under the name uncultured bacterium. RNAcentral describes it as "partial 16S ribosomal RNA". It matches the Rfam family "Bacterial small subunit ribosomal RNA", at positions 30 to 507 of the family's 1533-position model. The record is from RNAcentral.
AUUGAACGCUGGCGGCAGGCCUAACACAUGCAAGUCGAACGGUAACAGAAAGCAGCUUGCUGCUUUGCUGACGAGUGGCGGACUGGUGAGUAAUGUCUGGGAAACUGCCUGAUGGAGGGGGAUAACUACUGGAAACGGUAGCUAAUACCGCAUAACGUCGCAAGACCAAAGAGGGGGACCUUCGGGCCUCUUGCCAUCGGAUGUGCCCAGAUGGGAUUAGCUAGUAGGUGGGGUAAAGGCUCACCUAGGCGACGAUCCCUAGCUGGUCUGAGAGGAUGACCAGCCACACUGGAACUGAGACACGGUCCAGACUCCUACGGGAGGCAGCAGUGGGGAAUAUUGCACAAUGGGCGCAAGCCUGAUGCAGCCAUGCCGCGUGUAUGAAGAAGGCCUUCGGGUUGUAAAGUACUUUCAGCGGGGAGGAAGGGAGUAAAGUUAAUACCUUUGCUCAUUGACGUUACCCGCAGAAGAAGCACCGGCUAACUCCGUG